RNA transcript from Oncorhynchus kisutch (coho salmon), 4037 nucleotides. It is a transcript of the gene named tudor and KH domain containing, with no coding region annotated. Lineage: Eukaryota; Metazoa; Chordata; Actinopteri; Salmoniformes; Salmonidae. The transcript has 16 exons. The record is from RefSeq and is a predicted model, not a curated record.
UCGCAGCCUAGUGCGGCACUCCAAACGUAGCGUUACGGGCUUCUACAUUGCAAUGAAUGACUAACGCCUGAAAGGAAAUAAUGAUUUGCAUCCGCAUGUAACUUGAGCAUAUGUCUCAAAGGAAAUGUAAAGAAUGUUUACUUAUUUUGAACGUCCUCGUUGAAAACCAGGUUCUCUACGCUAGCAUCUAUUUGUUGGUCUCCGGCGCUAAAUGUUUUACACGACGCAGUACAUUUUGAGUACUACGGAUUAAUUGCUGCAGCGGUACCUAGUCCCGACUGUGGCGAUGCUUUCAAUUGCCUGUACAACAUAGCCACGCACAUUUUACUUAGACAAGGUAUGUUCAGUUUUAAGUCUGAAUACAAUUUAUAUUUGAACAUAGUCUGCCGAUUGUCCGUGAGGUUGGACCCACUUCAAUAUGCGGGUCUCUGUGUGGUAAUCAGGUCAUGAGCAAACAUCUUAAAGCACGUGCACAAUUUGGAUGUACAUGCAGAUUUCGACCUGCUGAAGGACCAACCCCGCAGAGAGCCAGUAGAGUGGAGUCUCUCCCUGGGCACGCGGCGUGUGAUGGAGGCAGUGCAGGAGGGCCCUAAGAGCAUCCUGAGCUCUGGUAAAGUUGUGGCUCUGGCAGCGGGGCUGUCUGUCGGAGCGACGGUGGGAUACAUUGUCUACCGGCAAAUCAAAAGCACCAGCCCGCCGCUGGCUAACACCGAGGAGUCCAGGAUGUCAGUACCUCUGGAGGUUUACAGGACUAUUACCAAGUACCAAGCCUCCUUCCUGGACCUGGUGAUGCAGAAGUCCGGUGCCCGCGUGAGGGUGCUCUCUGAGUCUUCGCAGGCAGUCGAGCAAAGUUCCCAGAAUUCCGUUUGUUUCCUGCUGCAGGGCUCACCUCAGCAGGUGCUGCUGGCCAGGUGUUCCCUGGAGAACCUGGCCGCAGACUGCGAGACCACCACUGACGUCAUGGAGGUACCCCAGACUGCCUUCGGACGCAUCAUAGGUCGUGGAGGGGAGUCUCUGAAGCUCAUCACCAGGACAACAGGAGCAAGAGUCCUAUGUCCCAGGGAGAGGGGGCAGGGCCUAGAGAAGGGCAUGGUGUCUGUCACAGGGACGAGACUGGAGGUCAGACGGGCCAAGGAGCUCAUCCUAGAGAAGGUAUUUGAGGAUGAGGCUGUAAGGAGGAGGAUAACCCAGUCCUCGGCCCUGCGCCAGAAACGAAGACCCUUCGAGCCCCAGGGUCAAAGGUCUGAGGAACUGAAGCUGGAGGAGGCUCCACAGUCUCUCUGGAUGGAGGAAGGGGGGCUGGUCCAUGCUAACGGUGUCCAGACCGCAGUGGGAGCCCUUGCCCAGGCUAGAGGAGAGACCGUACAGCUGGCUACAGAGGCACGAGAGGAGGACGAUCUUCUGUCGCCUGACUCCCUAUCAGAUGUUUCUAAAUUUGAAAUUCCCAGCCCAGACCUGAGCUUCCAGCCAGAUGAGCACCUGGAGGUGUAUGUAUCGGCGUCAGAGAACCCCCACCACUUCUGGAUCCAGAUCCUGGGGGUCCGCUCCCUCCAGCUGGACAAACUUACUGCCGAGAUGAGCCGCUUCUACAGCAACUGCACCCUGCAGGAGCAGCGAGUGGAGACCAUCGUGGUGGGGGACAUCGUGGCAGCUCCGUACCGGGACUACGGCACCUGGAACAGGGCGAGGGUCCUGGGGGUGAUGGGCUCUGGCCUGGUGGACCUCUACUAUGUCGACUUCGGAGACAAUGGAGAACUACCCAGGGAUAGUCUGCGGAGUAUGAGAAGUGACUUUCUCAGCCUACCAUUCCAGGCCAUCGAGUGCAGCCUAGCUGGAGUCAACCCUGCAGGUGAGGUGUGGAGCGACCAAGCCCUGGACGACUUUGAGCGCCUGACGUAUGUUGCAGAGUGGAGACCCCUGCUGGCCAAACUGUGCAGCUACACCCACUCUGAGGUCUCCUCUUGGCCAAGUGUACAGCUCUACGACAACACCGAGGGCAAGGCUGUAGAUCUAGGAGAGGAGAUGGUGAGUCUGGGCCAUGCUGUACCUAGCCAGGAUAAUGGGAACGGGGGUGGCGACAGGGACGACCCUGGAACACUACAGAGGAUGCUGGAUGAUGUGACUGGAGCCACGUCGGAGCUAAGCCUGUCCUGCAUCAGCUUAUCAGUUACAGGCCAUCAGAAUGACGAGUGGGUGUUAAAGCUGGCCACACCGUCAUUCUCAGGCUCUCUGAGCCCUCUGGAGCUGCAGCGGGCUGAUGUUGAUGACAGCCCCUCUGGGUUUGGCUUUGGGCUGACACACUCCACCCCGGCCCAGCGAGCCCUGGUGGACCUGGUUUCCCACAUCCUGGAGUCCCCCAGCCCCUCUGAACACCCCCUCUCCCCAGACCACCAGGUCCCGGACGAACGCUGUCACACACUCAACCAAACCACCAACCUCUACAGCUUCUCAGUGCCCCAGCUGCAACUCACACACACACUUCCUAUGUCCUCCUGUACCUCUUCGUCUACUUCCUCGUCGCCUCUGGAGGUCGUGACCUCUGUGUUGGGUUCGGUCAUGCUGAGUGACAACGUCUUCCUGGAGGGCUCCAGUUAUGACGGGGAUGAGGAAUGUGGCGUAACCUCGUCUUCCGGAGAAGUGGAGACAACUGGGGGCAACUCAACUUGGUGGUCGACUAGAGGUGACAGUCUGGAGGAGGAAGUGGACGAGGAGCAGAACAGUGAGGGGGCCAUCGACAUCGGUUCCACUCCUACCUUCCCCACACAGAGGCACUUGUGGCUGGAAGAGGGCAGGCAUGGGGGUGGUGAAGAUAGCACUGAAAGUCCUAGUGUGGUUGUAGUUGGUAGUAGUUUCAGUAGCAGUGGGAGUGAUAUUAUCUAUAUGGGGUCAGUGGCGCCUGCUUGGGAGAAGGGUCAGGCUGUGUCCUGCCCUAAUGUUGAUGGUGGCAACCCACAGAGGGUGAGGAAAGCAACAAGAUUACCGUUCCACCUCUCUGAGGAGGCAAUGGACAUGAAUGCCCUGGAAAGCCAAGCUGGAAUGGAUGAGAAGACUGAGGAACAGAGAAACCGACUGGACGAACACGAGAUGGAGGAAGUGAUGAGUCCACUUGGGGAGGAGGCAGGAUCUGAACACAGGAACGAACCUUCAGCGGGAUUCCAUUCACCAGAGGAGUUUGGGACGGAGAGUGGAAGAUUGGGUAUUGCAGAGCGGCCACCGCAUCAGAGGAGUGGUCUGCGAACCUCCGAGCAAUUCAACAAGGAGCCCAACUGCACUGAAGCAAAUGACAGGAGAGCGAGCCCUCAGGAAUUAUGACCUAUGAAGGAGUCUAUCCCAAACAGAGAAGUGGCCUCAAUCUCAGGAAGCGUUGAUGAUGUUCUAGAGGACGAGUUCGUCUGAGACCAAAGACAGACGUGUCAACACUGACCAUCCACUCUCUGCAUCAACUCCAUGUUAUGAAGUGGACACCUUCCCUCACCCCCACGCCACCAACCCCCUCGUCCUCUUCAUGAAGCCUUACUUGACUCAUGCUGAAUCCCAAAUGAACAAUUAGCCCCAUACUCCUUGGCAUGUUCUGUUUUAUCUGAAACAAUUGGAUGUAACUAUUUUUUUCAAAACCUCAGCGGGCAAAUUUAGCCACUUACCAUGUGGCCUGAGCCGAUCUGAUCACUACUGAUCUGCAGGAAUGGUUAGCAUCUGCAGACUGUGCAGCAGUUCUCCCAGCCAAUUUCAUUCAACUGUGGUCUUUCCCUGAUACGGGUUGAUUUGGGUUAUUCCUUUAUGCCUUUCAUGCAGUUAUGCUUUGUGCUGCUAUGUGUUUAUUGUUUAAGUUGCUGAGGAGAAGAGAUGGCGGAAAAAGAAGUCGAAUGCCAGUAUUGUUUAAGAUAAAGCACUGUGAUAGUCAUUCGAGCCCUAUAUUAGGUGAUUGUGGCUGUUAGAACAAAAUCCAUCUGUAAAUUAAUAUGUAAACCUCUGUACUAUUGUGCGUUAGUUUUAUGUUGUGAAAAUAAAGAUAUUACACUUAAAUAUGUUAAAUGUCA